UACAGAGGGGGCAAGCGUUGUUCGGAAUUAUUGGGCGUAAAGGGCGCGUAGGCGGUGCGGUAAGUCUGUAGUGAAAUCUCUGGGCUCAACUCAGAGUCUGCUGCAGAAACUGCCGUGCUUGAGUGUGGGAGAGGUGAGUGGAAUUCCCGGUGUAGCGGUGAAAUGCGUAGAUAUCAUUUGGAACGCCAAUGGUGAAAACAGGUAGCUGGGGCUGUGCUGACGCUGAGACACGAAAGCCAGGGGAGCAAACGGG
Molecule: ribosomal RNA, 253 nt
Filed under: uncultured bacterium
Lineage: Bacteria
Description: partial 16S ribosomal RNA
Rfam family: Bacterial small subunit ribosomal RNA
Source: RNAcentral